Molecule: long non-coding RNA, 329 nt
Filed under: Gossypium raimondii (Peruvian cotton)
Lineage: Eukaryota; Viridiplantae; Streptophyta; Magnoliopsida; Malvales; Malvaceae
Description: long non-coding RNA (GRAI_LNC010812)
Source: RNAcentral
GCAUUAUUACCAAUAAAAAUUCAUUAGCUUUUCAAAACUGAAAUAAUAAAAAAGAAAAAGAAGGUGACAACAAAGACAUAAAAGGAAGGUCCAUGAGACUCUGGCAAUUGAUUUAUAAUAUGAAUCAUGCUUAGCAAAUUAUAAGGCAACUGAAUGACUAGGUUAACAAGCCAUAACAGCAAAAAUAAAAAACACAACCAUUAACAGAACACCAUUAACAGCAAAAAUAAAAAACACAACCAUUAACAGCAUUAACAGCAAAAUCAAAAUCAUAACACCAUUAACAGCAUUAACAGCAAAAUCAAAAUUAACAGCAAAAUCAAAAUCAG